GCCGCUCAGAACUUAAAUGAAUGACGGGGCCCGCACAAGCGGAGGAACAUGUGGUUUAAUUCGAUGAUACGCGAGGAACCUUACCUGGGCUAGAACGCAAUCGGAAUCAGGCCGAAAGGUCUGCGCCAGCGAUGGCCGGUUGCGAGGUGCUGCAUGGUUGUCGUCAGCUCGUGCCGUGAGGUGUCCGGGUUAAGUCCCCAUAACGAGCGCAACCCCUACUGCUAGUUGCCAGCGGGUCAUGCCGGGGACUCUAGCGGAACUGCCAGCGUAAGCUGCGAGGAAGGUGGGGAUGACGUCAAAUCAGCACGGCCCUUACGUCCAGGGCUACACACGUGUUACAAUGGCCAGUACAGAGGGCAGCCACCCCGCGAGGGGGCGCUAAUCCUAAAAGCUGGUCCCAGUUCGGAUCGGAGUCUGCAACCCGACUCCGUGAAGCUGGAUUCGCUAGUAAUCGCGCAUCAGCCACGGCGCGGUGAAUACGUUCCCGGGCCUU
RNAcentral lists this ribosomal RNA (493 nucleotides) under uncultured Rikenellaceae bacterium. Its description in RNAcentral is "bacterial SSU rRNA". It matches the Rfam family "Bacterial small subunit ribosomal RNA", at positions 888 to 1382 of the family's 1533-position model. Lineage: Bacteria; Pseudomonadati; Bacteroidota; Bacteroidia; Bacteroidales; Rikenellaceae. The record is from RNAcentral.